Molecule: ribosomal RNA, 407 nt
Filed under: uncultured bacterium
Lineage: Bacteria
Description: partial 16S ribosomal RNA
Rfam family: Bacterial small subunit ribosomal RNA
Source: RNAcentral
CUUGAACGCUAGCGGGAUGCCUUACACAUGCAAGUCGAACGGAGUGGCAAACGGGUGAGUACUGUAUCGGCACGUGCCCAGUAGCGGGGGAUAACUACGCGAAAGCGUAGCUAAUACCGCAUACUCUUGGAGCCGCCGAUGUCGGAUUCGCGAGUUGGUGGGGUAACGUCUCACCAAGGCGACGAUCCGUAGCUGGUUUGAGCGGACGACCAGCCACACUGGGACGGAGACACGGCCCAGACUCCUACGGGAGGCAGCAGUGGGGAAUUUUGGACAAUGGGGGAAACCCGGAUUCAGCCAUCCCGCGUGUGCGAGGAAGGCCUUCGGGUUGUAAAGCACUUUUGGCAGGAAAGCGGUACCUGCAGAAUAAGCACCGGCUAACUACGUGCCAGCAGCCGCGGUAAUAC